GAUGAACGCUGGCGGCGUGCUUAACACAUGCAAGUCGAACGAGAAAUGGAGACGGAAACCUUCGGGCGGAAGGCUUCAUUUCGAGUGGCGGACGGGUGAGUAACGCGUGGGUAACCUGCCUCAUACAGGGGGAUAACAGUUGGAAACGACUGUUAAGACCGCAUAAGACCACAGCACCGCAUGGUGCGGGGGUAAAAACUCCGGUGGUAUGAGAUGGACCCGCGUUCGAUUAGCCAGUUGGCGGGGUAACGGGCCACCAAAGCGACGAUCGAUAGCCGAUCUGAGAGGAUGACCGGCCACAUUGGGACUGAGACACGGCCCAAACUCCUACGGGAGGCAGCAGUGGGGAAUAUUGCACAAUGGGGGAAACCCUGAUGCAGCGACGCCGCGUGAGUGAAGAAGUACUUCGGUAUGUAAAGCUCUAUCAGCAGGGAAGAAAAUGACUGUACCUGAGUAAGAAGCCCCGGCUAACUACGU
Molecule: ribosomal RNA, 477 nt
Filed under: uncultured bacterium
Lineage: Bacteria
Description: partial 16S ribosomal RNA
Rfam family: Bacterial small subunit ribosomal RNA
Source: RNAcentral